RNAcentral lists this ribosomal RNA (254 nucleotides) under uncultured bacterium. Its description in RNAcentral is "partial 16S ribosomal RNA". It matches the Rfam family "Bacterial small subunit ribosomal RNA", at positions 524 to 776 of the family's 1533-position model. The record is from RNAcentral.
UACGGAGGGUGCGAGCGUUGUCCGGAAUCAUUGGGCGUAAAGGGCGCGUAGGUGGCCUGGCAAGCGUGCGGUGAAAGCUCGGGGCUCAACCCCGAGUCGGCCGUGCGAACUGCUAUGGCUCGAGCACUGUAGAGGCAGGCGGAAUUCCGGGUGUAGCGGUGGAAUGCGUAGAGAUCCGGAAGAACACCGGUGGCGAAGGCGGCCAGCUGGGCCAGGUCCGACACUGAGGCGCGAAAGCGUGGGGAGCAAACAGG